RNAcentral lists this long non-coding RNA (321 nucleotides) under Mustela putorius furo (domestic ferret). Its description in RNAcentral is "lncRNA (ENSMPUG00000029923.1)". Lineage: Eukaryota; Metazoa; Chordata; Mammalia; Carnivora; Mustelidae. The record is from RNAcentral.
CUUUACAAGAGGCGAAGCCCCAUUAUUCCAGCCAUCUGUUGCUUGGCGCAGGGAUGGGACUGACAUAAAACCACAUAUUCCAAAGGAAGAACUUUUCCUGAUUGUAAAGAAGACAAUAAAUGAGAGGUGAACUCCUAGGCUUUGAAAGGAGCCAAGAUGGAGGAAAAGGGGCAUUUUCUCAACUUCACGGUGUUUCAGGGAUGACUCACUGUUUACUCCUGUGGCUGGAGCCUGGAGACAUUGCUGCUUACCUGGACAGAUCUUGUGGUCUGUGGAGCCCAAAAAGGGGUCACCCUGCUGCUGAGUCUGUGACCCUAUGUG